RNAcentral lists this signal recognition particle RNA (297 nucleotides) under Cercocebus atys (sooty mangabey). RNAcentral describes it as "Metazoan signal recognition particle RNA (ENSCATG00000020533.1)". It matches the Rfam family "Metazoan signal recognition particle RNA". From Rfam's summary of the family: The signal recognition particle (SRP) is a universally conserved ribonucleoprotein. It is involved in the co-translational targeting of proteins to membranes. The record is from RNAcentral. Lineage: Eukaryota; Metazoa; Chordata; Mammalia; Primates; Cercopithecidae.
ACUUGGGGCAGUGGUGUGCACCUGUGGUCCCAGCUCUGUGGGAGGCUGAGUGGGGAGGACUGUUUGAGCCUAGGAGUUCUGGGCUGUAGUGCGCUAUGUCCAUUGGAUGUCCACACUAAAUUCAGCAUCAAUAUGGUGACCUCCUGUGAGCAGAGACUAGCCAGUUGCCUGAGGUGUGCUGAACUAGCCCAAGUUGGAGACAGAGCAGGUUAAAACUCUUGUGCUGAUCAGUAGUGGGAUUGAAUCUGUGACUAGCCACUGCACUCUAGCUGGGCAACAUAGUAAAACCCUGUCUCU